CCGAGAAGAGUCAUCAAUCUAUCCCCCAGGCUAAACAAUUAAGUCUGGACUCUGCUAAAGUAUCUGUCAAGCAAAAGCAAGGUGCAUCCAUACUCCCUCUAGAUGCCACCUUUAAGGAGUGGAAGACCAUCCAUUAUGUCUUCGAAGGGAUGCUUCUCGAUGUCAAUCUGAGUAGGAUUGAGGGGCAGAGCUUUAGGAGACAGUAGAGGGAGGCCGUGACCUUCAUGAUUCAGAUGAGUCCCUUUUCCUUUCUUGUUAUUCUCUUCAUUUUUAUCUACUAACUCCUCUUUUCUGAAUGCAGCUAGGUCACUAUGUUGCCACUUUCAUUAACUCAUUGAGGGUCACUCGAUCAGACACUACCAAGGUACAAAGUAAAGCAGAAGCUGCUGCGACCAAGGCUUGAUCUAAGAUUGAGUCAACUG
RNAcentral lists this long non-coding RNA (422 nucleotides) under Elaeis guineensis (African oil palm). RNAcentral describes it as "long non-coding RNA (EGUI_LNC042927)". Lineage: Eukaryota; Viridiplantae; Streptophyta; Magnoliopsida; Arecales; Arecaceae. The record is from RNAcentral.